This 3557-nucleotide unclassified non-coding RNA is filed under the name Bactrocera tryoni. RNAcentral describes it as "wW domain-containing adapter protein with coiled- coil homolog, transcript variant X5". The record is from RNAcentral. Lineage: Eukaryota; Metazoa; Arthropoda; Insecta; Diptera; Tephritidae.
UCAAGUGUCAUAUCAAUAGGAAAAGCAAGCAGCGCAUAAAAAGAAAAUUUCAGCUCCAAUUGUAAUACAAAUUUCUUGCCCAACAAUUAAUUAAAAGUAUUAGAAUUGAAAGAAAUUUAUAAGUGUUAAUUGGAGCUACAUAUUUAGCUAAAAAAAACCAUUAUUAUAUAUAAGCGCUUCUCAUGAAUAUAACUCGAGGGUAAGCACGUUCCAGCAGAGCCGUAUUGAAAAAGUUUCGCUUUUUGCCGACGACGAAGUUCGAGUCGUCGACGUCCCUCCCAGAAAAAAAGUAAUCUCAGUAAAAGGAGGAACUCUCAAAGCCAAAGGGUUGGUUUUCAAUUGAAAUUGCCAAGAUAACUUGGUUAAAAUUUUAGUUGGAACUAACCAAAAUAGCGGCAUAUCGUUAACCAACGGAGUAUUGGGAGAAUCUAAAAAAAAUUUGUAGACGUUUAUUGCGGCGGCACAACGAAGACGAAGAGGAAAAAAAUUGGGCGAAAACUUUGCAUUGAUGGUAAUGCAUGCUAGAAAACCGCAACGUGUGAACGAUGGCUACUUUGAGAAGCAUCAGUCUCAUUCGUAUCAGAGUUCCAAGUACAGUUCAAAGCGCGAUUAUGAACGCGAUCGCUCAUCAAACUAUCGCGAUCGCGAUCUGUCGCCAGCUGGCGGUGGUCCAUUGAAUAAUGUUUCGCAAAGAUUAUCGCAAACUGCUAUGAAUAAUGGUAACAGCGCAUCGUAUCGCUCACAAUCACCUGAAGUAGAUUCACCAUCGUCAAGAGGGCACGGUUCGCACGAUAUACGCGAUCGUGAUCAUCGUGGUAGCGAUCGUUUCAGUUAUAUGCAAAAAAUGAGGGAUCGUGAUCGCGAUGUCUAUAAAAAGGAUAAAUAUUCUACAGAUAAACGCGAUAGACGGGGCGGUGGCAGUGGUGGUGGUAACGAUCGUGAUUCAGAAUCGCAUCGCACCAAUCAUGAUAGGUUGGAUCGCCGCGGCGGUGGCAGCGGUAGUGGAAGUGGAGCAAAGCUUUGUUCUUCCAGUAGCGGCGACAAGCGUUCCGGCUCGACAGAUCGUGACCGAGACCGCGAUCGUGAUCGUGGCGAUUUGAGAGAUAGUAAACGUGAGCGUGGCUCCGAACGAGAUCGUGAUAGAGAACGUGACCGCGAUAGAGAUCGUGAUAGAGAUCGCAGUGAUCGUGGUGGAGGUGGCGGCGAUCGUGAACGCGAUCGAGGAGGUGGAGGAGGCAGUGGUGGCGGUGAACGCAGCGAUCGGGGCGAACGUGUGGCAAGAUGUGGCGAUUGGAGUGAACAUGUCAGUUCAUCUGGAAAAAUGUAUUAUUACAACUGCAAAACUGAAAUCUCACAAUGGGAGAAACCAAAGGAAUGGAUUGAACGAGAACGAACACUGGCACGCGAUCAACAUAGGGAAAAAGAUUACCGGGACAAAGACCGCGACAGAGAUCGUGAGGAUCGUUUUUGUAGAUCAGCUUACGCGAAACAUUCCAGUUCUCGAGGAAACUCACGGCUGAGGUGGAAUUAUGAAAACGAUGGCGGACCGCCAAGUCAUCGAAGGCGUUUGGAUGGUCGCAUCGCUGAAAAUCCCGAUAUGGACAUAAGUCCCGGUGACUCCACGCCAACAUCGGAGGCUAGCUAUCCGCUGACCGGCGCGCCCACAGUUCAUGGUAUGGUGAAUGUGCAACACAAUGACCUAUCAAUUCCAACAUCAACCGUUGGCCUGCCGAAUGCAUUACCGCGUUUAGCUUCGCAUCCUAACGCCAGCACUGUUAUGUCAUCCUCCUCCUCCGCGUCCGCUUCUGCUGCAGCGGCCAAUGCAGCAGCCGCUUCAAUGCAUUUUUCCGCGUCAUCCGCGUCAGCGCAUGGUUCGGGCGUUGUUGUAGGCGGAGCAACAAUGUUGCCCGCCACUGGACUCGCCUCUGUGCCAUCGAGUACAGGUGUACCAGUGAUGGUUGCUGGUGUGCUGCAGACACAAAAUAAUAGUAAUCAUCGAAAAAUGGAUCCAGUGACAAUGUUGCAACAGCAAGCGCAUUUAGCGUCAACAACGUCGCCAAAUGUGGAUCAUCAUUUGAACUCGAAUGCACCGGGACCGCCGAAAUUGGGUACAAAGGAGCAACAGGAAAUGAUGAUGAGCUCGCAACAGAAGGCGUUAUUAAUGCGACAGCAGCAACAGCAGGCGGCGUUACAUCAUCAUCACCAACUUUCACAACAUGGUGGCAACGAGGCGGUACAUAUGAUGUCCAAUACCGGCACUUCCAUGGAUGUUACCAAUCAUGCGGCCUCAUCAGCGGUGAUAGUUCUAAGAGAUAAUUCGGUGAACUCGCCACACUACAAUUUAGCCCAUACACAUGGCAUGUCGCCAAUGGGCUACAAUACAAAGAGUCCUAUCACGGGUGUUGGCGGCAGCGGUGGUGUUGUUCCUGUUACCGGUCACAGUAACAAUGUGGGCGGUGGUGGCAUAAAUAUGAGCUCCGGCAUAAAUGCUGGCUCAUAUGCCGCCUGUAACACACCGUACGGUUUAAAGACUGUCGAGGGUAGCAGUGGCGGUGUCAUGAACUCGAUUGGCAACAGCAACAAUAGCAUUCACUGUCCCUCAUCUAGUUUAGCGAAUGUCAGCGGAAACGCUGGCGGUAGUGGAGUUAUUGGUAUUCUGCCUGGCGAAGGACCACCGACGCCAACGCAAGAAAUGGACCUUAAUGUAGCGGCAAUGGAACAGCAACAACGUAAACUGGAAAACACUUCAUCCGCCUCGUUGAGCACACUACAAAGUUGUGUAGCGUCGUCUGUGCAAGCCGGUCGUUCACAGGGUCCAGAGAUUUCACCGAAAUUAGCAAAGUAUUUUCGUGCUGAUUUAAUAACACAUGUCACCAAUUGGCCAGCUGAUAUCUUGGAGAAACAGGUAAUGCAAGAGGCGCAAAAGUGUUCCGAAGAAACGCAUUUGUAUGGGGAUUUACAGUGUACGAAAGUGUCGGCCGAGUUAAAAUGUGCUAGAAGCUUAGUUAGAAUAACUGAAAUCACAGCAACACUACAAGAACAAAACUAUGUGUUGUGGUUGAUAUGUAAACAGGCUUAUUGGAAAAAAUCUUACCAAAAGAAAGCAGGUCGUACUGGCUGUACAUUAUUGUUUGAUGAGACAAACUGGUGCCAUGCAGUUCCCUUAUGUCCGCUAUUGGCAGAACAAUUUAUAACGGUUUGACGUUUUAGGCACAAUAACGUUUAUAGGGAUUAAUUUUGCAGGCCAGAAAGCACUAUUGAAUCUUAUAUGUGAGGAUUUAGUGGCAGUUUGCAAAGCGUGUAGCAGUCUUGCUCUCUGCUUGCUGCAAUUUUCAACAGUUUCUGCAUAUUUCGCUAUGAUGAAGUCUGUGAAAUAAGUCCACUGCACAGUCAUAAGGGGCUAGCUGUUAUAGAAGACGUACCUGUGCUGCCACAGUUUAAAUCAUAAUAAGCAGAAAAACUUAUUUUAAGACGAAUUAUGUAUCUUCGCCAACAAAUUCGUCGAAUAGAAGAAUCAAAAUCACAAAACUCAUUUAUGUCUGAUGAUCUUUAGCCAA